RNAcentral lists this ribosomal RNA (464 nucleotides) under uncultured bacterium. RNAcentral describes it as "partial 16S ribosomal RNA". It matches the Rfam family "Bacterial small subunit ribosomal RNA", at positions 28 to 507 of the family's 1533-position model. The record is from RNAcentral.
GACGGACGCUGGCGGCGUGCUUAACACAUGCAAGUCGAACGGAAAGGCCCCUUUGGGGGUACUCGAGUGGCGAACGGGUGAGUAACACGUGAGUAACCUGCCCUUGACUUCGGGAUAACUUCAGGAAACUGGGGCUAAUACCGGAUAGGAAUCCUUGCUGCAUGGUGGGGGUUGGAAAGCUUCGGCGGUUUUGGAUGGACUCGCGGCUUAUCAGCUUGUUGGUGGGGUAGUGGCUUACCAAGGCUUUGACGGGUAGCCGGCCUGAGAGGGCGACCGGCCACAUUGGGACUGAGAUACGGCCCAGACUCCUACGGGAGGCAGCAGUGGGGAAUAUUGCACAAUGGGCGGAAGCCUGAUGCAGCAACGCCGCGUGCGGGAUGACGGCCUUCGGGUUGUAAACCGCUUUCAGCAGGGGCGAAGCUUUUGUGACGGUACCUGCAGAAGAAGCACCGGCUAACUACGUG